AUCUUUGUGCAAUGGCAAUAUCACAGCUCAUGACGUUUAUCUGAGGCACAAUUAUUGCUGAUUGAAACUUUUAGAGUAGUGAU
Molecule: small nuclear RNA, 83 nt
Filed under: Procavia capensis (Cape rock hyrax)
Lineage: Eukaryota; Metazoa; Chordata; Mammalia; Hyracoidea; Procaviidae
Description: U4 spliceosomal RNA (ENSPCAG00000019224.1)
Rfam family: U4 spliceosomal RNA
About the family: U4 small nuclear RNA (U4 snRNA) is a component of the major U2-dependent spliceosome.
Source: RNAcentral